RNAcentral lists this unclassified non-coding RNA (305 nucleotides) under fungal sp. RNAcentral describes it as "partial internal transcribed spacer region". The stretch from base 1 to 46 matches the Rfam family "Eukaryotic small subunit ribosomal RNA", at positions 1786 to 1831 of the family's 1831-position model. The record is from RNAcentral. Lineage: Eukaryota; Fungi.
AAGUCGUAACAAGGUUUCCGUAGGUGAACCUGCGGAAGGAUCAUUAACAAAAAAAUUGGAAGGCUUUUUUGGAUACUUCUCCAGAAAAGCUUUUUAAAACACCAAUUGUGAACUUGUAUUAUUGUUUCUUUUCUGUGGUAUUCUCAUAUGACUGGUUUCGCGCUAGUUUUAUGUGGAUGCCCAGAAAAAACUUUUUUAAACUUAAAAGAUUAUACCAUUUUGACCAUUAAAUAAAAGUUUGAAAUUUUUUUUAAACAUUAAAUAAAUUAAAAAAACAACUUUUGGCAACGGAUCUCUAGGCUCUU